Molecule: transfer RNA, 87 nt
Filed under: Pseudomonas phage D6
Lineage: Duplodnaviria; Heunggongvirae; Uroviricota; Caudoviricetes
Rfam family: tRNA
About the family: Transfer RNA (tRNA) molecules are approximately 80 nucleotides in length. Their secondary structure includes four short double-helical elements and three loops (D, anti-codon, and T loops).
Source: Rfam by way of RNAcentral
GGUGAAAUGGUAGAGUGGUUUAAUACAUCCCCUUGCUAAGGGGACGGGUCUUCGAAGGCCCCCUGGGUUCAAAUCCCAGUUUCACCU